Bison bison bison is the source of this 80-nucleotide microRNA precursor. Lineage: Eukaryota; Metazoa; Chordata; Mammalia; Artiodactyla; Bovidae. The record is from Ensembl.
UGGGUUAGCCACAAAGUUUGUUCGGGUUUUACUGUAGUAGCUCAUGGAAAAACCCAAAUGAACUUUUUGGGCCAACCCAG